UUAUUGCGUUAAUUGGUAACGAUUGUUUUUUAUUGGUAUUUAAUUUUUAGUAAUUUGAGCAAACCAACAAAGAUCAAUACAAAAUCAAUCGAAAUGAUUGUACUUUCUGAAACAUAUUACGAGUUCAUAGUUAACUGAUGUUCGCAGUGAUAAAUUUCAUUAAUUAUUCGUAAUGAGCGUGACUUUAACACUCUUGAAUAUUUGAAAGCUUCUUUUUAAUCCAAAUCUUAAUUUUCUGCAACCCAUAAAUUACACCGUUUUUUUGCCUUUCUCGUCUUUCUCUCAAGUUGUUUUCUCUUUUUCCCUCUUUUUUAAUUCGAAUCGUUAAUUUCCAGUAACUCAUAAAUUGUACUUCUUCAGCUCUCUCACCUACUAUCUGCUUUUUCUUUGCUCCUAUUUUUUGGAUGAUCGUUCCCGUAGAAAAAGAAAAUCAAGUGUGUAACGUGAUUCGGGGUCAAACGUUGAACCCGUUACCUCGUGAUGACCAGACACGUGAUUUUUAAUGCGCACAAGUCUCUGUCCACCGACGUUCCUUUUCACUUUCCGGCACACAAAUUCCGCCGAAGUGCACUUUGAUUCUGCUAGCUCUUGACACUUGUGUUUGCGCAGUGGGAACGUUCUUGGCUUGUCGAGUGUUUUGUGAAGUGGAUCGCGGAAUAACGUGUGGUCGAGUAUACUGCAUACGCAAAGGCGAUAAAACCUAAUAUUGUACUUUUGUUCCCUAUUUUUCCAUUAUACACCUAGGAUUUCUUUUUUAUCGAUUUGGUAACUAGUUUUCGAAAAUAAAAACUCUUCGACCUGAAGACAUCGAAUUACUUCAUAUUUAAUGAUAAUGAUUAAUAAAAUUUGCGACAAUUUAAUAAGUCUCUUAAAGAUACAGCUAACGAAAUAAAACAAGUAAAAACUAAAAAUUUAUAUUGUACGAAUCUAAAAUUGUUAACGAAAAAAUAUUUUUUAUAGAAAGUUAACGAUAAACAAAAAUUGUGUAGAAAAUUUGGAUAGAUAUAAGCAAUUCGAAUUGAUUGGAAUUAGUGAAAUUGACAACAGUAUACAACAGCUUUUAAUGUUAUAGAAAAAUCGAUACUAAUAAAAUGAAAAAGAUAAAAGAUAAUGGUUUAAAGAUCGCCAAUGAAGAAAAUAUUUUUAUUUUAAUGGUAUAUUGAUAGAAAUCAAACAGAGAGUUAGGGCGAACAUCUCGUGUACAGAUCGCGGAUUUUUUCCUCGUUUCUCUGUAAAAACGUUCUGUUUAUUUUCUUAAACUGCUGAUCCUUCAACGAAAAGCUUCGGAAGUAUGUUAAAACACUCUUCGUAUUUUAAGGAACGUCCGGAUUUUGCGGUUAAAAUUCAUGAUGCGCAAACUGCCUACUAUGUAAUUCGUAACAUUUCUUCAUUUUUCUCAUCGUUUCCCAAAGCAACUUGGUCUUCUCAAAAAAAGCAACAAUUGGAGGAAGCCAUUUUUCUUACAGCAGUAACACAGUGGAAUGACAUUAAAAAAUAGAAGAAGAUGCGUCAAAUCUUAAAACAAUAGAAACUCGUAACUUUAGAUUACGUGUGUCGUAAUUUUCACUUUUCGUCCCAUUCUUUGUAUUUUUCUUUAAUACAAUUGCAAGCCGCAAUAUGCUUUUAACUUCCGCAUUUUUCAAUAGAAGCUCAAGAAACGCGUGAUAUUUCUUUUCAUGGGUUCGUACGUUUCUAUUUUUCUGUUUGACUGACAGUUUACGGAUCGUCUGUAAACCAACAUCUUUAUUCCUUCCUUCAAAUAUUGGAAGCCUAAUAAAUCUUUCUGUAGCCAAUAACAACGUUUCCAAAGGGAUAAAUAAUAAUUUGAAUUCUUAUUUAUUGUUCAUUCUCCUAUCUCUUUGUCCCAAUUGUUUUAAUAUAUUGAUUUAAAUUACCUUUACCUCAAUGUUAAUUUUCAUUCUGAAUACUCAUAUAAAAAUCGAAAACUUUUGUUUAUCAAAAGCUUGUAUAUUGAACAUUCGUCAUGAAAAAUUCAAAGGUCAUUGUAUAAAACAGUUAUUACAUCAAAGAUUUCUGAUUUAUAUACAUAUGUUGAGAAGGGAUUUAUUCUUGACCAUCGCUUUAUCAUGCGAUCUAAAAACAAGUAUGAUCGAUAUGAUUGGUUUCUUCGAACGUACCUACGUGCAAGAAAAGUCAGGUUCUCAAGAAAUCGAAUCACGUGUUGUACUUGAAGGUAAAUCCAUCCAAACGGAGGAGAAAUUCCGCGAAAAAAAUGUAUUGUUUCGGCGAAACUAUGCGUCUUCGAAUGAGACAUACUUCGAAAAUCCCUCGGAAACUUGUUAUAAUCAUGUAUGUAUCUCAUACGCAUACAUAAAUACAUAUAUAUAUUUUAUCAGUUUUCUAUCCCAACAGCACUGGUAAUAAAUAUUUCAAACCUUGUAUACAUUUGAAGAGAACCUGCGUAUUUCUUUCAUUCCAAUAUGUAUAUAUUUAUAGUUGCAACUAACUUUAUUUAUCGAUAAAACGAAACGAGAGGCAAGAAAAAUAUCUUUAAACAAAUAACUGAUUACGAUUACAAUAAGAAAAAAAUAUUGAAAGAUAAACAAAUAAUGACUUAAAUUAAAGUAUCAAAAUUUUGCUAGAAAAGAUACAGCAAAAAUAAUAAUAUCAAAGAUAAAAGAUAUAACGAAGCUUCUUAACUGAAAUACAGGAAUGUUGUUAAAAGAUAAAUAUAUUAUCUUCCUAUUACCACCAAUGAAUCUAUUGAUAUUAUUAAUUAUUAAUCCUUAUUUAUUAGUCUGAUCUAAAAAAAUUUUAAUCAAACAUAAAUUCUCUUCUGAUCCAAUCGUAAAUAUAAUGAAAUAUAUGAAAGCUAAUUAUGAAGAUUCUAAAUGUUCGAGUUCUAUGAUCGAUAAUAAGAAAGUACUCGACCGUACUCGUGAUCAUUAGAGAUUGCGAUGUAACCGAUUAUUCGAGCGUUUCAUUAAAAAUUAAGCCGCGUAUUUUUUGCAGCUUUACUUCGAUCUCAUCAUCCUUAUCAUCGAAAAUAUCUCGAAAGUGAUAACGAUCGUAUAUGAAGCAUAAUGAAAGCGCAGACCGUGUAAUCUCGUACGGUGUGGUCACGAAAAUCACGUAGCCAAAGACAGAAAUUCUUUAGUUUUAAGACAUACAAGUACGAGAGUUUCUUUUCUUUGAUAUCGCCUAUAGGUAUAUGUAUAUUUUACUAACAUUUUGAUAAAAAUUGCUAUAGAUAAUCAACUAUUACUUUUUUAAUAGAAAGCCCUAGGUAAUACAAAGCUUGCUAAUAAUUGAAGAUUACAAGAUAUGAUAAGUAUAUUUUUGUCCAUGUUUUGUUAUGAUAAAUAAGCAGGUGAAUUUUAACGUUAAAUUGUAAUUGAAAAUGAACAAAAUCUAGAAAUCACUUCUUUUAAAAAUGGUUGAUAAGUUUAAAUUUUGUGGAGGUCAAGAGCAUAAUUAAGACAAAUAUUCAUAUAUCCUCAAUAUUUUAGUACUGUGAUGAACAAUAUAUUAUAAUAUAGCAAUAUAAUAACAUCGAAAAUUUUUGAGAAAAUGAAAACACGUACAUUCAGCUCCAGAAUCAAGUAAAAAGACAAUUUUACUGACACGAGGAUGCAUUGACAAUAAUUUUCUUAGUAAAUAGAGGAUGUAUAAAGAUGUAUAAAGAAGACGUGUUUUUAGAAUUUAUAAAUUCUAUUAGGAACUAGGAGAAUUUUCGAAAUUUUAAAUUGCGCAAAAAAGAAAAAGAAAGGAAUUUUUGUGCUAUCCGAGAGAGAAGAAUUUUUAGAAUUUUAAGUACAUGCAAGGCAAGAGAAUUAACAAAUUUUCAAAUUAUAUCUGCAAACUGAAUUUUCCAAAUUUUCUCUUGUUGUGUGAGUAGUAAGAGUGAGUAAGAAGUAACUUGUUAGAUGACUAAUACGAAUUAUACUGGAGCAGAAAUUAAGGGAUGACGUUUUUGUAAUGACAUCCAUAAACAUAGAGAUCGAAUGAGAUCAUUGAUGGAUGUCUCUUUUAUCGAAUAAACCUUGCUAGAAAUAGCGAUCGAACGUCAGUAGUAUACGUAUGUACUGGCAUCGAUCAAUGCGAAGGAGCUUCAUAAUUCGAAUCUCUGGCUAAUUAGUUUUUAAUUGUAUCGGUUCGUAAGACCGAACGUUAUAAACAAACUAUGCUAUAAACACUGCCUGAGAAAUAAGGGCGAUAUCUGUGAAGAUAUUAGAUUUAUAGGAAAAUCGCUUUUUAUUUGUUUUCCUUUUCGAAAGGAAAAGUUCAAUUAUUUUAAGUAAAUUAAAUAUUGAUUGGUUUUCAACGUAAUAACUACUGUUAUUAAAAUAUUCUUUUAGUGCUUUCACGAUUUAAUACACAAUACUUAUUCGAUAUUUCUCGAUGAAAAAAUUAUACAAAGAUUGUAUCUAGAUAAAAAACAAGAAAGUCGUCAUUUAAGAGACGUCAUUUAAUCUUAUUUCACUUGUAAUUUUUAUUCGAUUAAACAAAAUUGUAAGGAUCGUUUUACCUGAAUAAGGUAGACUUGUAAAAGUAAAAAUCUAGCGACGAAAUUUUCCAAUCUAAUGAAAAAUAAAAAUUACAAGAUUAUACAGAUUGAAGUAAAGAAGUUCGAACAAAAUAUAACUCUAUGCUUCAUAGCUAAAUAAUGAGAAUUAACAAGUGAAAAUAAAUCGAUACUAAUGUGAUGUAAGAUUGAGCUCUAUGUACAAUUUCUAAAUAAGAAACAUCUAUAAACGAGAAUAACCGGUGAAUUUGUACAAAGAUCAAUAGCAAUACAUGACAAACUUGUCGGAAAUAUUAACCGGUCUUAAACUAAAUUCUUACCUAACUAUUUCCUCCUAGCUGGCGAUUCGCGGAAGUUAAAACAAUCCGUUUGACGGAUAAAACCAGAUUAAACAUGUGAAAUGCCAUCAAAGAAUGAAUUUCUUUUUUUAGAUUAUUAAGGAUUAUUAUUAUUAAGGUUGUGUUAACGCCAAAUUCCAUUCGAAAUUAUUUUUCCAGUCAUUUACAUCAUCGAAUUCUGUGUUCUUUAAUUAUUUCAAUUAUUUUGAAUCACGUUGCUGAUAGCUCAGAAAUUAACGGGACUUUUGUGAAAGAGAAGUCAAACGAUUCGACUAUAAGAAGGUACAGUUCAAGGAACGCCAUACCGGUAUCGUGGGUUAUAGACGAUCAUUAUAAUUUAUGCAUUUUAUAUUUUACGUGAUAAAAGUUGCAUUAAACACGAACUAAAAUGAAAUAAUCUACGAUCAAAUAAUACAAUUUUUUAAUCCAAAUUUUCGUCUUCAUAAUAUCAAUUAAGAAUUAAAAAACAGAGCAAAAAGUAUAAAAUUCUAGUGCGACUAAUAAAGAGUAAUUCUUCCUUUUAAUGUAAACGCUUUAUCUUACCAUUAUUUAAAAGAUAAUUGUAAUACGUAAUAACUGUAAUAGUUUAUUAAAGAUAAAAAUAUUGGAACUUUGCAUAAUCCCCUAAUAAUUGGAAAAUCAUAUGCUUUCUUGGCAGAAGGAACGAUAUUGUUCAGUGUCCUAAAACUUAAACGACAGUAGGAACCUUUAAACGUACUAACUCCAAGAAGAUGUGUGGCAGUUUUAAGAAGGCAAAUAGCGGCAACAGACUCUCAUAACCAAUAAGUAUAGCGCAAUUUCCAAUUAAUUUUGAAACGACAUCUAAAUAUAUAAUAAACCUAUACAUGGUACUAUGACCGGAGUAACUUAGUAUAAGUUCUGUGGCUCUAUUACAGUACGCGUCUAGCUAAAUUAAUUCGUAGUCACUCUAUGCUUUGCUACUUCAACCUAUGAAAUUUAAAUCUAAAUACUUUCAAGUGUGUACGUGUUCACAGGUCUGUGCAAUAAAUGGCAAUGAAAAAUGCUAAACGAAAAGAAUACGUUUUUUCAUAGACAUAAAGAUAUAAAGAUAGUUGUAUAAACUAAUCAUACGAUGUAUCUGUCAACGCGUUUACCAUUGAAAUAUAAUCGGUAAACAAAAAAAUUUUAAUGUGUAAAAACAUUCGUAAAACGUUGUCAAACGCUCCACAAAGCGCUUAAGCAAUUGCAAUCACUUUACGAACUACGUACAUAUACAUAUUCCAUCGUACUGACAUAAGUGAUAUCAUAUCGACUAUGUGUAAAGUAAGGCGUACAAAAUUCGGUCGACAGUCGACGUAUGAAUUCUCUAUACCUCCACGUGACUUGAAGGUUACAUAAACGACCUAUUUACAUAAAGUAUUAGCUACCAAAUAUAACAUUCAAGUAUCAAAACAAGAAUCAAUUACGAACCGGUAUCCCACUUCUCGUUCAAAAUAAAAUAAUACGAGACAGAGUAUAAAAGAAGAGAAAAGAAGAGAAUUAAAUAACAUACAAAAAAUAGAGAAAAUGAUCACUUGUCAAUACCUGAUACGGGAGCAGCGAGAAACGCUUGAUUGGUGGCGACGAGUAAUGAAACCAGCACAAACAAGGACCACGCGAGGACGAUCAUCCUGGAUCGUAGUGAUCACUGAGAAGUACCGAUAACGGCUCGAUCAGUUUGCCAAACUCUGGACCGCCCCGGGCUUCCACUACGGUUAUGUUUUCGCGCACCUGACCGGUAUGCACGCGCGUAUGUACCCGUAAUUAUUCGGUUGGUUCGCCAACGGUUGAUGUUUUUCUCUUUUUUAUGUAUGUAUAGACGUUUACAUAAAUAUAUACAAUAUAUACAUCUGUACGUGUGUUUAUAUAUAUGUAUAUAUAUUUAUAUAUCGGUAUCGUACGUGUGUCAGAAGUCUUAAUUCAGUGUCGUUAGCUCUCGAACACGUUUCUCUCGAUGAACCGGGCCGUCGCGCUCAGACUCGGCUUUGCCGACUUCUCCGACCAGUUAGCCAGCAGUGAACUGCUCGUGUUCCUGCCUUGGGCAUCGUAAUAUACAUAAAGUCGCCAGAUAAGCCGCGGCUGACACCCCACCACGAGCCGCCCCGUCGUGGGACGACCCGUCUCGCUCGCUCGCUCACUCCCGAUGGAACAGCUUGAAGUCCUCUUCUCCUCGAAGCGGCCCCGCACCGCGCUGCACGGUGGGACAAAUCCUAGAUAUUUUCCGAAAAAAAAAAAAAAAAAAAAAAAACGGAAUAUAUAUCUAGUAAUAAAAAUAAAUAAAAAAUUGAGUGAAAAUACGGUGUACUCUUUUUUUCAUCGAUAUAACUGUACGAAGAGUAAAGAAGAAAAAACAGCUUUAUUGAGAAGAUUAAAUUUUAAUAUUUUAGUCCACUAAAAAGAGAACAACAUUUGAUGGAUUUAACCGUAUUUCUUAUGAAAUAAAGUUUAUACUCUGCUUAGACAUUACGAGAAAGAAUGGUUAAUAGAAUAUUAAUUAUUUUGCAGAAACUGCACUCCGUGCUUUGUUCCAAUAUAGAGCGAACGUUUCCUGUUAUUAAUCAAUACACCACAUUUUUAUGCAGACGUUUUGUGCAUUAUAACUAUUGUGAUUUAAUAGUUUAAAUUGUCGCAAAAUGAAAAAUCACAAAAAAUGAGUUUUCCUCGGUGUACAAAUACUUUUUAUAACGAUUGUAUGCUUGGUUGUUAAGAAAUUGUUAACGUAACAAAAACCCCAAAUUUAAUGAUUCUAACUAUGUUUUUCGGCAUUUCCAAAAAAAGUCUUGUUUUUUUUUGUUGAUUUUGAAAAAUAUGCGAAAUUGUCCAGAAAAUAGUUUUUCUCCGUAUAAUUGCUAAAUAUCCACGCUCAAUUGCUAUCCUGAAAAGAAUUAACAAAAUCGUGUACGCUUGUAUAGAAAUAUUCAGAAACCAAGAUUAGCAAGUAGCGAGAAAGCUAUCGAUGAUUAGUAACAAUUUAUUACAAUAUUAAAUCGAGACAAAGCAGGAAAUAAAGUUUUUAGAAACCUCAGGAAAUACGGAUCUCGCAAAAUGGACAGAAAAAGCACGAAUGAAAAUUUUUUUAGUUUCCUCGAGAUAAUUCACAAUUUGUUCAUGAGAACAUUCGGUAAAUUGGUAUAACAAGUUGGAACAAUAGCCUGUAGGCAUAUUCCCAGUAGUUCGUGCUUUAGAGUUACAUAAAUACAUUUGCUCGUAGAUUAUUAAAUGCUUUAGUUAAUCAGAUCAUUGGGAUGUUUCUUACUCAGUCCCCUCGGGACAAAUGUAAAAUAUAAGUUGUUUGCUAGUAGAUUUAAGCGGUUUUCUAAUUCCUUUUCGUCGGCAUAAAUGCACAACAUAAGUUGUUUGUUAGUAGGCUUAGACGAUUUUCUAAUUCCUUUGUGUAUCUCACAGCAAAAACCGUUAUUGUACUAUCGACUGAUUCUAUUCUAAGAUCCUAGUUUUUAAUAUACCAAAGAGCAUUAACCAGCGUAGGGAGGAUUAUUGAUUAUAAAGCUCCUAUUUUUUUAAUGUUGUUCAUGCUAACUGUACACCGGAGUUCGAUUCCGUAGAUCCGGAUAUUUUUAAUGAUGAUCUUGUAUAACAAAAGUUAAUUCUUUGAGUUCAAUUUUAAAUUCCUUCUCGUCAAAUAGUUCAUGUUUCUUCUUUUUAUUUUAGUCUGCUGUAUUUUCCUCUGGGUGUGGUGUUUUCACGUUAAUUUCCUAUCUACGUAGAUGCCUAGAUAUUUUACAACUGCAGCUUGUUACUCAGAGAUACAGUACCAGAUAUUUGCUCCUUUAAUGCAAAGGUAAUGCGUCUGGAUUUUUCCUCGUUUAGUUUUAUUUUCCGUUUUAAGAACCAAGUUUGCAAACUUACUAUGGAUUGCUGCAGAAACUGAGAGGCAGUGUUAACGUUAUCGUGCAUAUAAAGUGCCAUAUAAAGUACAGAUCCUAAGAACACCAGCAUUUAUUGAGUAUUGAUUGGAGUAACUGUCCCGAAAUUUGGCUAUGAUUUUUUUAUUUGAUAUGUAAGAUUUAGUGAGAUAGUAAUAUGGAGCUGGAAAAUUGAUUGCUAUUUUAAACGGUAAUGUUUUCUCGAUAUCUAGGAAUAUAACUGAACAGUAUAACUUUUUUUCAAAGCAUGUAAUGAUAGUAUCAACAAUUCUAUACACUUAUUGAAUUAUAGGAUGUUUAUUACGAAAUCCAAACUGGUGAUUAGAUAAUAAUUGAUUUCAGUUUACUUAGUACUCUUCUCGCUGGUAUUUUCUAUAUAAUUAAUAGCAACGGAAUUGGCCUAUAUGAGGUCGUAUAAAUGCAAAUCUUACCCGGGCUUUUGCAAAUAUUUUGAUCGCAGUACUGCAUUAAAGAUAUUUGUUUUCAGCCUUAUAGAGGGCUUAUCUAGAAGGAUUUUUAUUGAUUUAUUUAUUAUGUUUAUUUUUUUGUUUUAUACUUGUUUGUUCGACCAGUCGCGGGGAAACGCGAUCACGAGGAAACGCAUCAACAGGAGUCGUAAAUUCCCGUUACGAUUAGAAUAAUCGACACCACGAACUGUUCGAUCCCCGUAUUUCGAUUAGGACAAUAGGGGUGGUUGUUUUUGUAGAACACUGCGGUUGACAGGUUAUACUAUAUAUUUUCAACAACAAUUUACACUUUAUAUAAUGUAUAACUCUGAUGUGUAUCUAAGAUGUGUAUCUGAGGUGUAUCGCUGAGAUAUGUAUCGAAGAUGUGUAUCAGAGAGGUGACUGCUCCAUAGGUGAGAAGAUGCGUUCUCGUAGCAUUACUGAAGAAAGCUCGGGGUGGCCUUGUUCAUGGGAAAAACCAGCUUUCCUGUUAGGGAAAUAUUCGCUUGCUUCGUAAUUAAUACGAACGCAUAAUAAACCUAAGGACUGUUCCAGGGACCAUCCAUAAACCGAUAACACUUACAGGAAUAAUGAUUCCUUCAAGGUUAAUAGGUUAGUUAUUUUUUCAACUAGCAAUAAUCGCAUCUCGGUAGAACCUCAUUGGUUACGAUAUCGCCACUGCGCAAAGCUUAAUAGAAGUUAGUUAUGAAUAUCAAGACAAAAGGUAAACUAAAAGCCUAGGUUUAUGGUGGAUCCUUAGGUUUAUUGGGAAUCUGAAUAGCGGUGCAGACCCUUGGCGGCCAGGCAACUAGAGACGUCGCGCGGGCCAUUUCACGCAACGUAACAUACUUAUGCUUUUAUUGUAUGUUUGAUAUAAUUCUUUUUGCUUCUUUAAACGUAGCACUUUUAUUGGGCUUAUAUUUGCAGUAGCACUUAUAUUUUCUUUUAUUGGACCUGAGUUUCGUAAGGUGUGAUCUAACAUUGUGUUGAAUUGUUCCAUUUGUUCGUUAUGUAUGUUUAUAAGGAUUUCUGAGUUUUUAGCAGAUAGUUUUCGUAUGAGUGUUAACGUCAGUUACUUAUGUGUAUGAUGUUGUAAUAGCUUCAUUAUCAAAUUGAAGGAUUAUCUUCGUAUUGGGGGACCUGUGACUAAUAGAGUAUAGCACACAUAUAUAGCGACUUUUAUCAAAGCUGACGAGAGUUUCUGGUGCAAUUACUUUCCUAGCUAGCAGAGUGAUUACGUGACAAUUAAAAGAUUUAAUAUUAUCGAUGUGACGUCUUAUUGAACGAUUAGUGAUAAACAUUUCACCUUAUCAGCGUGACCUUUUUAUUACACAAUCAGUGAUCGGGUGAUUUUUGGCACACUUAACGCGAGUCGGUAUUUUAUUGCAAUAAUUUUUGGUGUGGCCGAAAGACUGACAUUUGGCGCAUUAAUCUAGCUGCUACAAAAAAAACUAUCGUAUUUACUAGCCUGAUCAAUUGGAAAUAUUUUUGUUCUUUCCUUAUGACGAGUUCAUCCACAAAAAGUUGGAGUUGUCUUUUUUUGUUACUUAUUGAAUCAUACUAUUUAUAAUCGUUUAUUUGGCGAAUUUUAUAGUUUAACUGUCCGGUGAAACUAUAGAAAAGUUACUUCCUUUCCGAUCCCGAUGACUUUUGGAUAUGUAGAAAUAUGUAUGUUGUAAAAAUCAACAUUGUAAUUGUAUAGUUUAUUUUUACUCGAGCGUGGUUACCAAGAUGUUUCCAAACAAUGAUCGAUGCUCUCAUGCAUCUGAAUUUUGUCUAUAAUUAUACACCCUUAUCAGCGUACGUGUUAGUUUGGUUGCCAACCGCCUAUCUUUCGUUUAUAAUGUAUACAUGUAAACGGAAUUUGGGCUCUCUUAAAGCUCUUUGCACAACUAUAUGUGCGUGGUUGUAAAAAGUGCUGUGCACAAUUAAAAAUGAAUACAUCGAUGAUAUUUUUAUAUUUAUUUUAUUAUAUACAUUUUUAAUUGAAUUACAUAUAACAGACAUUUCUUACAGUUUCUCAUAUACAGUUGCGCAAGGAGCUUUUCUUAGACUCACCCUCGUUGUAUAUAUAAGCUGAAAAUAAGUGUCAGUUUUCGAUCAGGUCAUCCUAUUCAAUUUCUGACAAUUAAUACGGUCGCUUAUGCUGCCAUAUGCGCGCAAUUAUAAGUACAACGUACUGUAGUGAUAUUAAUAGAAUUUUUCUACUAUCUGGUGAACUAUGACCGACAGUUAUAUCAUGUACAGAAAAAAAGUGUUUCACAAUAUUAUGAUCUAUAACUUAUUCAGAAAUGAUCGCAAUCAGAAAAGAAGCAUUUUUCCUACAGUUUUAUCUAUAAUAAUAAUAAUAUAUCUAUAAUAAUUGAUAAUACGAUCAAUAAGCCAAAAAGUUUCGUUUUCUACAUGACAAAUACGUACAAAAGUGCAUAAGGUUAAGAUCUCGAUUGAUUUUCAUAAAAAUAAACGCUUCUAAGAAUUAUUAUAUGCUUCCAUAGUUUUUACCAUGUAAAAAACAAAGACUUUUGCGUUUUUUGGUCUAUAUCAUAUUAGUACUGAAAAGUGCAAAAUACCAGUGGCAGGAGAAAUUUAAAGGGUUCACCGGAGGAUCGUCCCAGCACCACCAUUUUCUGAAGAUAAAGAAACAAAUUCUGUUCUAUUCAUCAAAUGUUACUACAUCUCAUAAAUGCCAGAAAACAAGUUUUUUAUUCAGUUCAUUAUUUAAAUGAAUGCGUCCAAUAUGCCACCCCCCUCCCCUUAAUAUAUUUCCUCUACUUUUCUUCGUCUCACUCACUGUUUCUGUCUGUCAUGCACGAUUUCUAUCUUUCAUACACUCUCUUGCUCUUUCGAGUUUUUUAUAUCUUGCAAUUUAUAAUCAUGUGUGAACUAUCGUUAUAUGCCAGAGAAUUCUUCACUGCUCAGACUCUACAGUAGAGUAGAAGUAAGGUGUACUGAGUGUCUGUGAUAAUAGUGUCUGCUGGCUGUAGAUGUCGCUGUUGGGAUACUGCUGUAUUUUCUUCCUAUUUAAGAAUUAUGGAAAAUCGGACUACGGGCGCCGGGAUUGGAGCCCGGGUCCCGAACAUUCGUAACCUAAGGUUUUAACUACCACGCUGCCGUCGUCUGGUAGCAGUUAGUAUCGAGUGGCAGUAUUUGUGUUGUCGAGUGCCGCCACAGAAGUUUUAAAGUCUUUCAGAUACUACAGAUGUGAUUAUACUGUCUUCAUUUGUUUGGUGCUUUUUGGAUAAUAAUACGUAUUUACGUUAGUACUUUUAUAGCUUUGUGUGAGGCUAACGAUGACGAUCGGAGAAAUCUUUGAUUACUUAUAUUCAUCCCAGACAAAAAACUUUGAGAGUUUACAUUCCAAUAAGUCUAGAUCUAUGACUUUCAAUUUACUGGUGUUUUGGUCGUCGAUAAUUGUGGCAAGCUGUCUCCUCCAAUGUUUCAGCUGGACCUGGUCAUACUUGAUUCAGAUACUGGAAGCGUGGCCUCGCAUUUUCGGUUCUUUGGAUAUCGAUAAUGAUGUUGACGAAGAACAUUAUUACCAAAGUUCUUCACCUCAAGCUCAAACCUAACUCGUUGUCAGGUAGUUGCUUUCUCUAUUUUUUGAUCUCUAAUCUGGCCUUUUUCUAAGUAAGAGCGAUCGUUACUUAACAGUUUUAAGCGCUUCAUUAGUCAAACUUUAUAAUUUACGUUCGAAAGUGUAACCGAGAUCGAUUGCAACUUUCUUUUAAUACCUAUACGAAAAUAAUGAAUCUAAUAACGAAAAAGAUAAAGAAUAUUAUUGUCUGGUAUGCACGGAAUCCUACAGCAAAAUGAAACCAGACGAAGAAAUUGGUGUAAUGUAGCGAGUGUAAGAAUUGAGCACAUAAAAAAUGUACCUAUCAAGAUGUUUUUUUAUAUUUGUCACAAUUGCGAUUCUGGAUGAUCGGUUACAAAUUUUACUUUUGUUCUACUUAUUAUUAUAAUUUAAGUCAAUAAAUAUCUUAAUUUGAUAAA
This is a long non-coding RNA of Bombus pyrosoma, 13147 nucleotides long. RefSeq lists it as uncharacterized. The record is from RefSeq and is a predicted model, not a curated record. The transcript has 5 exons. NCBI's taxonomy places the organism in Eukaryota, Metazoa, Arthropoda, Insecta, Hymenoptera, Apidae.